UACGUAGGGGGCAAGCGUUGUCCGGAAUUAUUGGGCGUAAAGAGCUCGUAGGCGGUUCGUCACGUCGGCUGUGAAAUCCCGAGGCUCAACCUCGGGUCUGCAGUCGAUACGGGCGGACUUGAGUACUGCAGGGGAGACUGGAAUUCCUGGUGUAGCGGUGAAAUGCGCAGAUAUCAGGAGGAACACCGGUGGCGAAGGCGGGUCUCUGGGCAGUAACUGACGCUGAGGAGCGAAAGCGUGGGGAGCGAACAGG
RNAcentral lists this ribosomal RNA (253 nucleotides) under uncultured bacterium. RNAcentral's name for it is "partial 16S ribosomal RNA". It matches the Rfam family "Bacterial small subunit ribosomal RNA", at positions 524 to 776 of the family's 1533-position model. The record is from RNAcentral.